UACGUAGGGUGCAAGCGUUGUCCGGAAUUAUUGGGCGUAAAGAGCUCGUAGGCGGUUUGUCGCGUCGGCUGUGAAAACCUGGGGCUUAACUCCGGGCCUGCAGCCGAUACGGGCAGACUAGAGUUCGGCAGGGGAGACUGGAAUCCUGGUGUAGCGGUGAAAUGCGCAGAUAUCAGGAGGAACACCAACAGCGAAGGCAGAUCUCUGGGACGUUACUGACGCUGAGACGCGAAAGCGUGGGGAGCAAACAGG
RNAcentral lists this ribosomal RNA (252 nucleotides) under uncultured bacterium. Its description in RNAcentral is "partial 16S ribosomal RNA". It matches the Rfam family "Bacterial small subunit ribosomal RNA", at positions 524 to 776 of the family's 1533-position model. The record is from RNAcentral.